CAGCCGCCACGGGAAGACGAACCGUGCGAACGUUAUUCGGAAUCAUUGGGCUUAAAGCGCGUGUAGGCGGAUGGGAACGUCGGUCGCUGAAAUACCCCGGCUCAACCGGGGAACUGGCAUCGAAACGACCCGUCUCGAGGGGCAUGGGGGGAGCUGGAACUUCCGGUGGAGCGGUGAAAUGCGUUGAGAUCGGAAGGAACGCCCGUGGCGAAAGCGAGCUCCUGGAUGUCUUCUGACGCUGAGACGCGAAAGCUAGGGUAGCGAACGGGAUUAGAUACCCGCGUAGUCCCUGUCUCUUAUU
This 301-nucleotide ribosomal RNA is filed under the name uncultured bacterium. RNAcentral's name for it is "partial 16S ribosomal RNA". It matches the Rfam family "Bacterial small subunit ribosomal RNA", at positions 509 to 808 of the family's 1533-position model. The record is from RNAcentral.